Molecule: ribosomal RNA, 484 nt
Filed under: uncultured bacterium
Lineage: Bacteria
Description: partial 16S ribosomal RNA
Rfam family: Bacterial small subunit ribosomal RNA
Source: RNAcentral
AUUGAACGCUGGCGGCAUGCUUUACACAUGCAAGUCGAACGGCAGCGCGGGCUUCGGCCUGGCGGCGAGUGGCGAACGGGUGAGUAAUACAUCGGAACGUGCCCAGUAGUGGGGGAUAGCUCGGCGAAAGCCGGAUUAAUACCGCAUACGACCUGAGGGUGAAAGCGGGGGAUCUUCGGACCUCGCGCUAUUGGAGCGGCCGAUGGCAGAUUAGCUAGUUGGUGGGGUAAAGGCCUACCAAGGCGACGAUCUGUAGCUGGUCUGAGAGGACGACCAGCCACACUGGGACUGAGACACGGCCCAGACUCCUACGGGAGGCAGCAGUGGGGAAUUUUGGACAAAGGGCGAAAGCCUGAUCCAGCAAUGCCGCGUGUGUGAUGAAGGCCUUCGGGUUGUAAAGCACUUUUGGCGGGAACGAAAAGGACUGUGCCAAUACCACGGUUUGAUGACGGUACCCGCAGAAUAAGCACCGGCUAACUACGUG